Molecule: ribosomal RNA, 253 nt
Filed under: uncultured bacterium
Lineage: Bacteria
Description: partial 16S ribosomal RNA
Rfam family: Bacterial small subunit ribosomal RNA
Source: RNAcentral
UACAGAGGGGGCAAGCGUUAUUCGGAAUUACUGGGCGUAAAGAGCUCGUAGGUGGUUUGUCGCGUUGUUCGUGAAAUCUCACGGCUUAACUGUGAGCGUGCGGGCGAUACGGGCAGACUAGAGUACUGCAGGGGAGACUGGAAUUCCUGGUGUAGCGGUGGAAUGCGCAGAUACCAGGAGGAACACCGGUGGCGAAGGCGGGUCUCUGGGCAGUAACUGACGCUGAGGAGCGAAAGCGUGGGGAGCGAACAGG